This is a non-coding RNA of Bos taurus (domestic cattle), 72 nucleotides long. NCBI's taxonomy places the organism in Eukaryota, Metazoa, Chordata, Mammalia, Artiodactyla, Bovidae. The record is from Rfam.
UCCCUUGUAGCUCGGUCGGUAAAGAAUCUGCCUGCGGUGCAGGAGACCCAGGUUCGAUUCCUGGAUUGGGAA